AAUAAGAUGCCUGAUAAAAAGGCAUAUCUUGAUAGGAUAUUUAAUGUAGUUACCCUACUCUUAUUA
Molecule: transfer RNA, 66 nt
Filed under: Nesidiocoris tenuis
Lineage: Eukaryota; Metazoa; Arthropoda; Insecta; Hemiptera; Miridae
Description: tRNA-Ile
Source: RNAcentral